RNAcentral lists this transfer RNA (77 nucleotides) under Deltaproteobacteria bacterium RIFCSPLOWO2_02_44_9. Its description in RNAcentral is "tRNA-Arg". It matches the Rfam family "tRNA". Rfam says of the family: Transfer RNA (tRNA) molecules are approximately 80 nucleotides in length. Their secondary structure includes four short double-helical elements and three loops (D, anti-codon, and T loops). Lineage: Bacteria; Deltaproteobacteria. The record is from RNAcentral. RNAcentral also lists the same sequence under 1 other name.
GCGCCCAUAGCUCAGCUGGAUAGAGCGGCAGACUACGAAUCUGUAGGCCGGGGGUUCGAAUCCCUCUGGGCGCGCCA